CGAUUUUUAUUGUGGGGAGUCUGCACAAAGAGCCGUGUUAUUGUAUUUAAAAGAACCAUCUGUAGCAGAAACAAUGGCAUCAAAUUAUCUUUGAAUACCCACUGAAAAAACAUAAAGCUUUUUUUUUUAUUCUUCUUCUGUACGGUGGGGGGAUAGAGCAGUGUUAGGAUAACUGACUUUUUUGUUGUUCUCUGGAUGCAUUCUUCUCGCUCCCCCUCUCUCUCCCCCUCACCCUCUCUCUCCUCUCUCUCCCUCUCCCUCUCUCUCUCUUUUAAAAAAUCAGCCAUUUGGGGUUUUAAGCCAUAAACGAUUUUUCUUGUUGCAGGGGAUUGCAGUGGCAAAGCUAGGCUAGGUCUUGGAGGCUGGUGUAAGGCGAUGAGGGUGAAGGCAGGAGGCUGAUGGAGAAACUGGGGCGAAGAAAAGCCGAAAUGGAUUCACGGUGCCUUGGAUGGAGGACGAGAGGGGAACUGCAAGCUCCUUCAACUCGGUCUGUCCGGUGAGAAGUGAUCAAGCUUGGGCUGACAAGAGGCUCAGGGAGCCCUCACGUUCUUUGCUUUUUUACCUGCCAAUCAAACUGCUACAAGACAACACCCUGAUCUGGCAUGGACAUCGCGGGUUCAAGCCUGUAGCCCCAAAUCGGAUAAUCUCUGCAGCUGAUAACAAGCAAAUGCGAAGCCAGGCAACAGCCAUAUUAAAGAAGAAUACAAUCAACUCUGAGGUAGAUAUUUUACUUUUUUUCUCCAGGAAAGUCAAGAGUUUUCGUCAGUGAACUCAAAUGUGGUUCUUCAAGCAAGUGCCAGGAGGGAAGUUUUGAAUGUUCUUCUUUCUUAAAGCCCAGCACUGCAUUCCUUUUUGUAGUGCUUAAGAGUUUUUUCGCUUUCCCGGAGCUGUUGAAAACGACCCUUCACAACAAGGCAGCAACUAAACCAUUCGUACUUGGGGUUGUUGAAACAGUAUUUUAUCAGCAGUCUUUGUACAAAUUAAAUUUUAAGUCGUGAUUGUUAAUGUGUCAGUGAGGUGAACAGAAGACCCUCUGCUUCCCAUUGGUUAAAUACUCAGUUGCAAAGUGGUACCUGAACGCAGACAUCAAAUUCACUGUUAGGAAUGAUAUUUGCAUAAGUCUUAUUUUUUCCCACUGGAUAAGGUUAUUGUUUAAAAGCAUCUAAA
Long non-coding RNA from Sorex fumeus (smoky shrew), 1167 nucleotides. RefSeq lists it as uncharacterized. Lineage: Eukaryota; Metazoa; Chordata; Mammalia; Eulipotyphla; Soricidae. The transcript is spliced from 4 exons. The record is from RefSeq and is a predicted model, not a curated record.